CCUACGGGAGGCAGCAGUGAGGAAUAUUGGUCAAUGGGCGAGAGCCUGAACCAGCCAAGUCGCGUGAGGGAGUACUGCCCUAUGGGUUGUAAACCUCUUUUGUCGGGGAGCAAAAGCCGGACGUGUCCGGCUGUGAGAGUACCCGAAGAAAAAGCAUCGGCUAACUCCGUGCAAGCAGCCGCGGUAAUACGGAGGAUGCGAGCGUUAGCCGGAGUUUUUGGGUUAAAAGGGUGCGCGGGUGGAUUUUUAAGCCAGCUGUCAAAUCGUGGGGCUCAACCCCAUCCAGCCGUUGAAACUGGGGAUCUAGAGUGUGCGAGAGGUAUGCGGAAUGCGUGGUGUAGCGGUGAAAUGCAUAGAGAUCACGCAGAACCCUGAUUGCGAAGGCAGCAUACCGGUGCACAACUGACGCUCAGGCACGAAAGCGUGGGUAUCGAACAGGAUUAGAUACCCGGGUAGUC
This 458-nucleotide ribosomal RNA is filed under the name uncultured bacterium. RNAcentral describes it as "partial 16S ribosomal RNA". It matches the Rfam family "Bacterial small subunit ribosomal RNA", at positions 338 to 795 of the family's 1533-position model. The record is from RNAcentral.